GUCCACGCCGUAAACGAUUGGUGCUAGGUGCCGGGGGGAGCGACCCCUUCGGUGUCGCAGCUAACGCGUUAAGCACCCCGCCUGGGGAGUACGGCCGCAAGGCUGAAACUCAAAGGAAUUGACGGGGGCCCGCACAAGCGGUGGAGCAUGUGGUUUAAUUCGAAGCAACGCGAAGAACCUUACCUGGGCUUGACAUCCACGUGAAACCCUCUAGAAACAGGGGGCCUUCUUCGGAACUCGUGGACAGGUGCUGCAUGGCUGUCGU
This 265-nucleotide ribosomal RNA is filed under the name uncultured bacterium. Its description in RNAcentral is "partial 16S ribosomal RNA". It matches the Rfam family "Bacterial small subunit ribosomal RNA", at positions 793 to 1055 of the family's 1533-position model. The record is from RNAcentral.